Non-coding RNA from Nematostella vectensis (starlet sea anemone), 83 nucleotides. The record is from the annotation of a RefSeq genome assembly. Lineage: Eukaryota; Metazoa; Cnidaria; Anthozoa; Actiniaria; Edwardsiidae.
ACCAGGAAGGCCGAGUGGUUAAGGCGUUGGACUUAAGUUCAAAUGUAUGGAUGUCCGCGUGGGUUCGAACCCCACUCCUGGUA